Molecule: non-coding RNA, 1649 nt
Organism: Megalopta genalis
Lineage: Eukaryota; Metazoa; Arthropoda; Insecta; Hymenoptera; Halictidae
Source: RefSeq, a predicted model, not a curated record
GAUUAUUUAUUAGUUUUAUAAUUUCAUAUCAAAAUAUUUCAAUUUAAAAUAUUAAAUACUUCAUUAAAUUGUGUGUAAUUGUGGAAAUAUUACAAUCAAUUAGUUUAUUUAGACAAAACCCUACAUUCUUACAAUAUGACUGAAAUAUGACCACGCAUUCACUUCAAUCCCCUCACCCGGAUGCAUCGAUCUUCAAAUCCCUGGACCGCAAGUACGGUAAAAUAAGGCAGCCAUAUUGGUCAUCGGUUUGACUUGUUUUGUAUGUUUGUGCUGAUGUCGUCCUCUCCUUGUCUUUGACUGUGAGGGCAGUACUGUUCAGCUGUGACUCAUCACCAAUCAGAGCAAAGCAGUUUCUCUACUAAUAGUGAGGAAGUACCUCGAGUGGCUCCAGUUACGUAACAUAGUUAUCAAAUAUAAAAUAACAUGGCAAGUUUGGAAUCAACUGAAACCAACCUAACCUAAUUGCUUAUAAAGUGAACUUUCAUUAUCAAUGAUAUAGGGUGGUGCUGUAUUAAAAAUUAUAAAGAAAAAUACAGGACUUCUAUGAAUGCAUUUUCUCUUCAGGAAGUACUUUUUACUGUUAAUAUUUGAUAUUAUAUAGCUAAAUAUAAUAACGCAUAACCUAUAACAGAUGACAUGAAUGUAUUGUUUAUUAUUAUUUAUGAUAUACAAGAUUUUCUUCGUAAAGGUUCUAAAACAAUUAGUGAUUAUUUACAGUACCCUGCUUUAUGCUUCCUUGUGAGGAAGCAGUGAACACAAAGAAGAAGGUAGAACAUAUUCACCUCAUGCACGAGUCUGUUCAAAACAUUUCACUAACAGUGAGUGUUAAAAUGUAAUGCUGUCUCAAUUGCUAAACGAAAUACUGUAUUUAAGACAUAGCACAUGCAAGGACUAGUACGUCUAUGGUUUAAUUUAUUGUAUGCAAUGGCUAUAGUGAUGGUAACUAUCCAAAUGUUCCAGCACGCAAGCAAGAAUAUUAUAAACUAAAAUAGUACUUGCGAGCAAACUUUUGUGCUUUUAAUGCUUUUUAGUGAUAUUACAUCUAUAUAAACAUCAUGUUAAUAUAUAUUAGUCUUUUCUAUAUGUUCUUUCAAACUUAAAGAAAAUUUACACAGAAAAUUUUUUGUAAAAGACAUAAUAGAAUUUAUUAAUUCCAUAGUUGACAUAUGGCGCUGAAAAUAUGCUAUUGAUUCUUUGAACUUUAAAUGACUAAAUGCACUUAUAUCUCAUUUUGAUUUGACACCAAUUUUUGUAUGUCUCCCUGUUACUUCUUUCUAAAUUUUUGUAAUUGAUAGAGAAGGAAAAUUUAAAUAAUGAAGAAGAUGUAUGGAAUGUACCUGCAGCUCUUGAUUUCACUUCAUAACAAUUUUUUUUAUCAAACUUCUUCAUGUGUGUGUACUUGGCAUACUUCUUUUGAAAAUAAAAUAAAUUUAAUUUACAAAAGGUAUAUUUUAUUUGAAAAAAGGUGAAUAUCAUUUGAAAUUAGGUAUGUAUGACCUACAAAAGAUUGAAUUUUGAGAGCAAAACCUGUAUUACAAAUAUGUAAUCUUAAAUAAAAGCACUAUAUAUGUAAAUGUUUCAACUGUAUGAAAACAAUUUAAGUAAAUAGGUAACUAAUUUAAAAAAUACAUGUCUAACAAUUUAAAACA